AAAUUGAAGAGUUUGAUCAUGGCUCAGAUUGAACGCUGGCGGCAGGCCUAACACAUGCAAGUCGAACGGUAACAGGAAGCAGCUUGCUGCUUUGCUGACGAGUGGCGGACGGGUGAGUAAUGUCUGGGAAACUGCCCGAUGGAGGGGGACAACUACUGGAAACGGUGCCUAAUACCGCAUAACGUCGCAAGACCAAACAGGGGGACCUUCGGGCC
RNAcentral lists this ribosomal RNA (215 nucleotides) under Salmonella enterica subsp. enterica serovar Schwarzengrund. RNAcentral's name for it is "partial 16S ribosomal RNA". It matches the Rfam family "Bacterial small subunit ribosomal RNA", at positions 1 to 219 of the family's 1533-position model. Lineage: Bacteria; Pseudomonadati; Pseudomonadota; Gammaproteobacteria; Enterobacterales; Enterobacteriaceae. The record is from RNAcentral.